CCUACGGGUGGCAGCAGUGGGGAAUAUUGCACAAUGGGGGAAACCCUGAUGCAGCGACGCCGCGUGAAGGAAGGAGUAUUUCGGUAUGUAAACUUCUAUCAGCAGGGAAGAAAAUGACGGUACCUGACUAAGAAGCCCCGGCUAACUACGUCCCAGCAGCCGCGGUAAUACGUAGGGGGCAAGCGUUAUCCGGAUUUACUGGGUGUAAAGGGAGCGUGGGCGGUGCAGCAAGUCAGAAGUGAAAGCCCGGGGCUCAACUCCGGGACUGCUUUUGAAACUGUUGAACUAGAUUGCAGGAGAGGUAAGUGGAAUUCCUGGUGUAGCGGUGAAAUGCGGAGAUAUCAGGAGGAACACUGGUGGCGAAGGCGGCCUGCUGGACUGCAACUGACGUUGAGGCACGAAGGCGUGGGGAGCAAACAGGAUUAGAUACCCGUGUAGUC
RNAcentral lists this ribosomal RNA (440 nucleotides) under uncultured bacterium. Its description in RNAcentral is "partial 16S ribosomal RNA". It matches the Rfam family "Bacterial small subunit ribosomal RNA", at positions 338 to 795 of the family's 1533-position model. The record is from RNAcentral.